GGAGAGGUCGCCUAGAGGCCUAGGGCGCUCGCCUGGAAAGCGGGUAGGGGUGCAAGCUCCUCGUGGGUUCGAAUCCCACCCUCUCCG
RNAcentral lists this transfer RNA (87 nucleotides) under Chloroflexota bacterium. RNAcentral's name for it is "tRNA-Ser". It matches the Rfam family "tRNA". Rfam says of the family: Transfer RNA (tRNA) molecules are approximately 80 nucleotides in length. Their secondary structure includes four short double-helical elements and three loops (D, anti-codon, and T loops). RNAcentral also lists the same sequence under 2 other names. The record is from RNAcentral. Lineage: Bacteria; Bacillati; Chloroflexota.